GGCUCAGGAUGAACGCUAGCGGCAGGCUUAAUACAUGCAAGUCGUGGGGCAGCAGGUUUGUAGCAAUACAGAUGCUGGCGACCGGCAAACGGGUGCGGAACACGUACAGAACCUUCCUUUGAGCGGGGAAUAGCCCAGAGAAAUUUGGAUUAAUACCCCCUAGUAUAAUGAAGUGGCAUCACUUUAUUAUUAAAGAUUUAUCACUCGAAGAUGGCUGUGCGGCUGAUUAGGUAGUUGGCGGGGUAAAGGCCCACCAAGCCUGCGAUCAGUAACUGGUGUGAGAGCACGACCAGUCACACGGGCACUGAGACACGGGCCCGACUCCUACGGGAGGCAGCAGUAAGGAAUAUUGGUCAAUGGAGGCAACUCUGAACCAGCCAUGCCGCGUGGAGGAUGAAGGUCCUCUGGAUUGUAAACUUCUUUUAUAUGGGACGAAAAAAGGCUUUCUAAGUCGUCUGACGGUACCAUAUGAAUAAGCACCGGCUAACUCCGUG
RNAcentral lists this ribosomal RNA (494 nucleotides) under uncultured bacterium. RNAcentral describes it as "bacterial SSU rRNA". It matches the Rfam family "Bacterial small subunit ribosomal RNA", at positions 21 to 507 of the family's 1533-position model. The record is from RNAcentral.